AAGUCGAGCGGAAUACAAACUGUAGCAAUACAGGUUGUGUUCAGCGGCAGACGGGUGAGUAACACGUAGACAAUCUACCUUAUAUAGGGGGAUA
RNAcentral lists this ribosomal RNA (94 nucleotides) under uncultured Actinomycetes bacterium. RNAcentral describes it as "uncultured actinobacterium partial 16S ribosomal RNA". The record is from RNAcentral. Lineage: Bacteria; Bacillati; Actinomycetota; Actinomycetes.